ACGAGGUUCGUGUUCCGCGCGAAGGUGACCACCCAGCGGAUCCGCCUGUCGCUGGUGCCGGAGACGGCGCCCGACUUCGUGCGCAACGUGACGGCAACGAUCCUCGGUCUGCGCGGUGACUCGCUACCGGUCAGCGCCCUCCCCGUGGACGGCACCUAUCCGACGGGGACGGCGCGGUACGAAAAGCGCAAUAUCGCCGACGAGGUGCCGGUGUGGGAAUCCGACCUCUGCAUCCAGUGCGGACAGUGCGCCAUUGUCUGUCUCCACAGCGUGAUUCGAUCCAAAUACUACGACGAGAGCCGCCUGGAGGGAGCGCCGGCCGCGUUCAAGGCGGCGCCGAUCAACGCCCGCGGCUAUCCCGACUCGCGCUUCACCCUGCAGGUCUACGUCGAGGACUGCACGGGAUGCGGUGUCUGCGUGGAGAAUUGCCCGGCCCACAGCCCGACCGAUUUCGCCGUCAAGGCGAUUAACAUGAAGGACCGGCUGCAGCACCUCGAGGCCGGCCGAGAGAGCAUCAGCUUCUUCGAGACGCUGCCGUGGGCCGAUCGCACGCGCGUGAACUUCGCCAACGUGCGCGGCGUGCAGUUUCUCGAGCCGCUAUUCGAAUUCUCGGGCGCGUGCGCCGGCUGUGGCGAGACGCCUUAUCUCAAGCUGAUCUCGCAGUUGUUCGGCGAUCGGCUGCAGAUUGCCAAUGCGACCGGGUGCUCGUCGAUUUACGGGCGCCAAUCUCCCGACCACGCCGUGGGCCGCCAACGCUGACGGCCGAGGGCCGGCGUGGGCGAACUCGCUGUUCGAGGACAACGCCGAGUUCGCCUCGGCUACCGGCCUCGCCGUCGACACCCAGACCGCACAGGCGCGUACGCUCGCCAAGAAGCUCGCGACACGCCUCGGCGAGGACCUGGUCACCGCGAUCCUGCAGGCGCCGCAGGUCACCGAGUCGGAUUUUCGCGUCCAGCGCGAGCGCGUCGCCGUGCUGAAAGCGAAGCUGUCGGGCGCGACCGAUGCCGACGCGAUCAACCUGCUCUCGGUGGUCGACUUUCUCGUCCGGCGAUCGGUGUGGAUCAUCGGCGGCGAUGGCUGGGCGUACGACAUCGACUACGGUGGUCUCGACCACGUCCUCGCGACCGGAAGAGACGUCAACAUCCUGGUACUCGACACCGAGGUCUAUUCGAACACGGCGGACAGGCGUCGAAGGCGACGCCGCUUGGCGCCUCGG
RNAcentral lists this unclassified non-coding RNA (1216 nucleotides) under uncultured fungus. Its description in RNAcentral is "sequence contains 18S rRNA gene, ITS1, 5.8S rRNA gene, ITS2, 28S rRNA gene". The record is from RNAcentral. Lineage: Eukaryota; Fungi.